This 294-nucleotide ribosomal RNA is filed under the name uncultured bacterium. Its description in RNAcentral is "partial 16S ribosomal RNA". It matches the Rfam family "Bacterial small subunit ribosomal RNA", at positions 334 to 642 of the family's 1533-position model. The record is from RNAcentral.
GGCGCCUACGGGAGGCAGCAGUGGGGAAUAUUGGGCAAUGGGCGCAAGCCUGACCCAGCAACGCCGCGUGAAGGAAGAAGGCUUUCGGGUUGUAAACUUCUUUUCUGAGGGACGAAGAAAGUGACGGUACCUCAGGAAUAAGCCACGGCUAACUACGUGCCAGCAGCCGCGGUAAUACGUAGGUGGCAAGCGUUAUCCGGAUUUAUUGGGUGUAAAGGGCGUGUAGGCGGGAAAGCAAGUCAGAUGUGAAAUCUCAGGGCUCAACCCUGAGCCUGCCUUUGAAACUGGUUUUCU